GAUGAAGAACGUAGCGAAAUGCGAUACGUAAUGUGAAUUGCAGAAUUCAGUGAAUCAUCGAGUCUUUGAACGCACAUUACGCCCCCUGGUAUUCCGGGGGGCAUGCCUGUCCGAGCGUCAUUGCUGCCCUCAAGCACGGCUUGUGUGUUGGGCCUCCGUCCUCCUCCCGGGGGACGGGCCCGAAAGGCAGCGGCGGCACCGCGUCCGGUCCUCGAGCGUAUGGGGCUUCGUCACCCGCUCUUGUAGGCCCGGCCGGCGCUUGCCGACACAUCAAUCUUUUUUCCAGGUUGACCUCGGAUCAGGUAGGGAUACCUGCUGAACUUAAGCAUAUCAAUAAGCGGAGGA
RNAcentral lists this unclassified non-coding RNA (345 nucleotides) under soil metagenome. RNAcentral describes it as "partial contains 5.8S ribosomal RNA, internal transcribed spacer 2, and large subunit ribosomal RNA". The stretch from base 1 to 120 matches the Rfam family "5.8S ribosomal RNA", at positions 35 to 154 of the family's 154-position model. The record is from RNAcentral.